Long non-coding RNA from Armigeres subalbatus, 470 nucleotides. RefSeq lists it as uncharacterized. The record is from RefSeq and is a predicted model, not a curated record. Lineage: Eukaryota; Metazoa; Arthropoda; Insecta; Diptera; Culicidae. The transcript has 3 exons.
CCUCACUCGAGGAUUUACUGUCAUUAAAUUUUUUGUUUUGCUGACGGCGAAAAAAUAGAGCUACUGAAAAAACGGGGAAAACUGAGGAAAUUGAAGCACAUUAAAGAUGCUUAUCGAAACUAAUCACGGAGCUCGGAUUAUAUCUAAUCGGAUGCAUGGGGAAUGAAUCUAUUGCAUGGCCACCAACAAAAUCGUUCGGCAGCAGGCCAGAUCAGAAUUAAGGCACCCCUCUGCCACGUACAUUCAUCUCGUAUUGAAUGACAUUUGAGGAUUGAUAGCUGUCGGACGAACUCGUCUUUGCAGCAAACUUGUGGAAGUUUCGGCUAAUCCCAGAGCACCAUCAAUCAAAGUAUUCAACGCUUUCGACUGAGGCAGACCUGUUUCUUUUAUAAUAUGCGUGAAUAAUGAACACAAAACAGAAUCAUUACUUUGAAAUACAUGUAAUGUUUUAUUUUGACAUACUCCACUUA